RNAcentral lists this ribosomal RNA (491 nucleotides) under uncultured bacterium. RNAcentral describes it as "partial 16S ribosomal RNA". It matches the Rfam family "Bacterial small subunit ribosomal RNA", at positions 29 to 506 of the family's 1533-position model. The record is from RNAcentral.
AGUGAACGCUGGCGGUAGGCCUAACACAUGCAAGUCGAACGGCAGCACAGUAAGAGCUUGCUCUUACGGGUGGCGAGUGGCGGACGGGUGAGGAAUACAUCGGAAUCUACUUUUUCGUGGGGGAUAACGUAGGGAAACUUACGCUAAUACCGCAUACGACCUACGGGUGAAAGUAGGGGAUCUUCGGACCUUGCGCGAUUGAAUGAGCCGAUGUCGGAUUAGCUAGUUGGCGGGGUAAAGGCCCACCAAGGCGACGAUCCGUAGCUGGUCUGAGAGGAUGAUCAGCCACACUGGAACUGAGACACGGUCCAGACUCCUACGGGAGGCAGCAGUGGGGAAUAUUGGACAAUGGGCGCAAGCCUGAUCCAGCCAUACCGCGUGGGUGAAGAAGGCCUUCGGGUUGUAAAGCCCUUUUGUUGGGAAAGAAAAGCAGCAGGUUAAGACCCCGCUGUUCUGACGGUACCCAAAGAAUAAGCACCGGCUAACUUCGU